GAUGAACGCUAGCUACAGGCUUAACACAUGCAAGUCGAGGGGUAACGAGAGGAAAGCUUGCUUUCCUUGUCGACGACCGGCGCACGGGUGAGUAACGCGUAUCCAACCUGCCCCCAACUAGGGAAUAACCUUGCGAAAGUAAGACUAAUACCCUAUAAUUUCCUCAGAUGACAUCUGACGAGGAAUAAAGAUUUAUCGGUUGUGGAUGGGGAUGCGUCUGAUUAGCUUGUUGGCGGGGUGACGGCCCACCAAGGCAACGAUCAGUAGGGGUUCUGAGAGGAAGGUCCCCCACAUUGGAACUGAGACACGGUCCAAACUCCUACGGGAGGCAACAGUGAGGAAUAUUGGUCAAUGGGCGGAAGCCUGAACCAGCCAAGUAGCGUGCAGGAUGACGGCCCUAUGGGUUGUAAACUGCUUUUAUACAGGAAUAAAGUUAGCCACGUGUGGAUAUUUGUAGGUACUGUACGAAUAAGGACCGGCUAAUUCCGUGCCAGCCGCCGCCGUAA
RNAcentral lists this ribosomal RNA (506 nucleotides) under uncultured bacterium. RNAcentral describes it as "partial 16S ribosomal RNA". It matches the Rfam family "Bacterial small subunit ribosomal RNA", at positions 28 to 523 of the family's 1533-position model. The record is from RNAcentral.